CUGACACAGGUGCUGCAUGGCGUGUCGUCAGCUCGUGUCGUGAGAUGUUGGGUUAGUCCGUAACGAGCGCAACCCUUCGUCCUUAGUUACCAGCACGUUAUGGUGGGCACUCUAAGGAGACUGCCGGUGACAAACCGGAGGAAGGUGGGGAUGACGUCAAGUCAUCAUGGCCCUUACGGCCUGGGCUACACACGUGCUACAAUGGUCGGUACAAAGGGUUGCCAAGCCGCGAGGUGGAGCUAAUCCCAUAAAACCGAUCGUAGUCCGGAUCGCAGUCUGCAACUCGACUGCGUGAAGUCGGAAUCGCUAGUAAUCGUGAAUCAGAAUGUCACGGUGAAUACGUUCCCGGGCCUU
This 354-nucleotide ribosomal RNA is filed under the name uncultured Pseudomonadaceae bacterium. RNAcentral's name for it is "bacterial SSU rRNA". It matches the Rfam family "Bacterial small subunit ribosomal RNA", at positions 1029 to 1382 of the family's 1533-position model. The record is from RNAcentral. Lineage: Bacteria; Pseudomonadati; Pseudomonadota; Gammaproteobacteria; Pseudomonadales; Pseudomonadaceae.